This 884-nucleotide ribosomal RNA is filed under the name Russula laurocerasi. Its description in RNAcentral is "eukaryotic LSU rRNA". It matches the Rfam family "Eukaryotic large subunit ribosomal RNA", at positions 82 to 943 of the family's 3401-position model. Lineage: Eukaryota; Fungi; Basidiomycota; Agaricomycetes; Russulales; Russulaceae. The record is from RNAcentral.
AGUAACUGCGAGUGAAGCGGGAAAAGCUCAAAUUUAAAAUCUGGUGGUCUUUGGCCACCCGAGUUGUAAUUUAGAGAAGCGUCUUCCGCGCUGGACCAUGCACAAGUCUCCUGGAAUGGAGCGUCAUAGAGGGUGAGAAUCCCGUCUUUGGCAUGGACCCCAGGGCUUCUGUGAUGCGCUCUCAAAGAGUCGAGUUGUUUGGGAAUGCAGCUCAAAAUGGGUGGUGAACUCCAUCUAAAGCUAAAUAUUGGCGAGAGACCGAUAGCGAACAAGUACCGUGAGGGAAAGAUGAAAAGCACUUUGGAAAGAGAGUGAAACAGUACGUGAAAUUGUUGAAAGGGAAACGCUUGAAGUCAGUCGCGUCGACCGAGACUCAGCCUUGCCUUGGCUUGGUGUACUUCUCGGCUGACGGGUCAGCAUCAAUUUUGAUCCUUGGAUAAUGGCAAGGGAAAGGUAGCACCUUUACAGGUGUGUUAUAGUCCUCUGUCGGAUGCAAGGCUCGGGAUUGAGGAACUCAGCAUGCACCUCAUCGGUGUCGGGGCCUCGGCCUACGUUACGUGCUUAGGAUGCUGGCAUAAUGGCUUUAAACGACCCGUCUUGAAACACGGACCAAGGAGUCUAACAUGCACGCGAGUGUUCGGGUGGAAAACCCGUGCGCGUAAUGAAAGUAAAAGUUGGGACCUCUGUCGUGGAGGGCACCGACGCCCGGACCAGACCUUCUGUGACGGCUCUGCGGUAGAGCGUGUAUGUUGGGACCCGAAAGAUGGUGAACUAUGCCUGAAUAGGGUGAAGCCAGAGGAAACUCUGGUGGAGGCUCGUAGCGAUUCUGACGUGCAAAUCGAUCGUCAAAUUUGGGUAUAGGGGCGAAAGACUAAUCGAACCAU